This 382-nucleotide small RNA is filed under the name Pan troglodytes (chimpanzee). Its description in RNAcentral is "processed transcript". The record is from RNAcentral. Lineage: Eukaryota; Metazoa; Chordata; Mammalia; Primates; Hominidae.
CUUUACUGUGAUUGGAAUUAGAAAGGCUUUCGAUAUAUGCCCCCUGGUGAAAAUCGACACAGCUCUAAUUAAAGCUGAUAACUUUCUGCUUGAAAAUACACUGCCAGCCCAGAGCACCUUUACAUUGGCCAUUUCUGCGUAUGCUCUUUCCCUGGGAGAUAAAACUCACCCACAGUUUCGUUCAAUUGUUUCAGCUUUGAAGAGAGAAGCUUUGGUUAAAGAUACGAGUCUCACUGUGUUUCCCCGGAUGAUCUCAAAUGCCUGGGCUCAAGCACUCCUACUGCCUCAGCCUUCCAAAGUGCUAGGAUCACAGGCAUGAGCCACCACACCUGUCCUCUAUUUAUUCCUUUAUUCAAUAAAUAUGCAUUGAGUAUCCUAUGUA